CCUACGGGAGGCAGCAGUGGUGCAUAUUUGGCAAUGGGCGCAAGCCUGCCCCAGCAACGCCGCGUGAAGGAAGAAGGCUUUCGGGUUGUAAACUUCUUUUGACAGGGAAGAGUAGAAGACGGUACCUGUCGAAUAAGCCACGGCUAACUACGUGCCAGCAGCCGCGGUAAUACGUAGGUGGCAAGCGUUGUCCGGAUUUACUGGGUGUAAAGGGCGUGUAGCCGGGUUGACAAGUCAGAUGUGAAAUCCUGCGGCUUAACCGCCGAACUGCAUUUGAAACUGUUGAUCUUUAGUACUGGAGAGGCAGACGGAAUUCCUAGGGGAGCGGUGAAAUGCGGAGAUAUUAGGAGGAACACCAGGGGAGAAGGCGGUCUGGUGGACAGCAACUGACGGUGAGGCGCGAAAGCGUGGGGAGGAAACAGGAUUAGAUACCCUUGUAGUC
Molecule: ribosomal RNA, 442 nt
Filed under: uncultured bacterium
Lineage: Bacteria
Description: partial 16S ribosomal RNA
Rfam family: Bacterial small subunit ribosomal RNA
Source: RNAcentral